AAAAAGUAUAUUUCUCGUAGAGUUUCCAUUUCACCGAGAAAAAGUGAUAGAGAGUGAAAGAGUGUGAACAAAGCGCUUAGUGAGUUAGAGAUGGAGACGGAGGGGACGAAACCAGUUGCAGUGUUUUUGGCUUUUGGUACCAAAGGCGACGUUUAUCCUAUAGCUGCCAUUGCUGCAGGUUUUGCUUCUGACCAGAAGCAAUACAAUGUGAUUCUUAUUACUCAUUCCGCGCAUGAGUUAUGCAACAGAGUACUCAAUCAGCACAACAUCUUUUGUAUAUUAAUUUUCUCUUUUUAUUUACUAACCAAAGGUACCUGACUAACAGCUGUUUCCCGACCUUUUAGAGAUUAUAAUACAAUUAGAAUUUCCUGACUAACCAAUUUGCUGUUCUAUAAUAUCGCAAUUUCUUUUGUUAUUUCGUUUGUCUGCUGUCCUGCAGAAUUUAAGUUCUCAUUUGGCUGAAAAACAUGUUGCUUAUCUUCCAAUUUCAUCACCACCAGUUCUUUCUACGGACCAGAUUCAGAAGGCUGCAGGUUGGAUGCAUAUGUCAUUUUCACUGCAGAAAAGAAUGCUUACUAGAGAUCGUAGACAAGAGUGCUAUUCUGUAGUUGAAAAGAUUUUUGGAUAUGGUCCAAGCAUGGAGGGUGACUUUAUUGUAAUAAACUUUUUUGCAUUGGUAAUUUUUUACAGAAUAUUAAUAACUUUCUCAGUUGAUUUGAUUACGACAUUUACAAAGUUAUGAAAAUACAAACAAGAAAUAAUCAGUUUUAAACAUUGUAUCGAUACAUGCUUAUAAUUUUCUCAAAAAUAUAUAUUUUCCCACAAGUUAAAUAUAACACUUUUCUGUUGU
Long non-coding RNA from Ziziphus jujuba (common jujube), 850 nucleotides. RefSeq lists it as uncharacterized. The record is from RefSeq and is a predicted model, not a curated record. The transcript is spliced from 3 exons. Lineage: Eukaryota; Viridiplantae; Streptophyta; Magnoliopsida; Rosales; Rhamnaceae.